RNAcentral lists this ribosomal RNA (497 nucleotides) under uncultured bacterium. RNAcentral describes it as "partial 16S ribosomal RNA". It matches the Rfam family "Bacterial small subunit ribosomal RNA", at positions 28 to 507 of the family's 1533-position model. The record is from RNAcentral.
GAUGAACGCUGGCGGCGUGCCUAAUACAUGCAAGCCGAGCGAACAGACGAGGAGCUUGCUCCUUUGACGUUAGCGGCGGACGGGUGAGUAACACGUGGGUAACCUACCUAUAAGACUGGGAUAACUUCGGGAAACCGGAGCUAAUACCGGAUAAUAUUUCGAACCGCAUGGUUCGAUAGUGAAAGAUGGCUCUGCUAUCACUUAUAGAUGGACCUGCGCCGUAUUAGCUAGUUGGUAAGGUAACGGCUUACCAAGGCAACGAUACGUAGCCGACCUGAGAGGGUGAUCGGCCACACUGGAACUGAGACACGGUCCAGACUCCUACGGGAGGCAGCAGUAGGGAAUCUUCCGCAAUGGGCGAAAGCCUGACGGAGCAACGCCGCGUGAGUGAUGAAGGUCUUCGGAUCGUAAAACUCUGUUAUUAGGGAGGAACAAACGUGUAAGUAACUGUGCACGUCUUGACGGUACCUAAUCAGAAAGCCACGGCUAACUACGUG